UGGAAGGGUAGCGAAGAGGCUAAACGCGGCGGACUGUAAAUCCGCUCCUUCGGGUUCGGGGGUUCGAAUCCCUUCCCUUCCAU
RNAcentral lists this transfer RNA (83 nucleotides) under Streptococcus pneumoniae. RNAcentral's name for it is "tRNA-Tyr(gta)". It matches the Rfam family "tRNA". Rfam says of the family: Transfer RNA (tRNA) molecules are approximately 80 nucleotides in length. Their secondary structure includes four short double-helical elements and three loops (D, anti-codon, and T loops). Lineage: Bacteria; Bacillati; Bacillota; Bacilli; Lactobacillales; Streptococcaceae. The record is from RNAcentral.